RNAcentral lists this ribosomal RNA (397 nucleotides) under uncultured bacterium. RNAcentral describes it as "partial 16S ribosomal RNA". It matches the Rfam family "Bacterial small subunit ribosomal RNA", at positions 523 to 918 of the family's 1533-position model. The record is from RNAcentral.
AUACGUAGGGGGCGAGCGUUGUCCGGAAUGAUUGGGCGUAAAGGGCGCGUAGGCGGCCCGGUAAGUCUGGAGUGAAAGUCCUGCUUUUAAGGUGGGAAUUGCUUUGGAUACUGUCGGGCUUGAGUGCAGGAGAGGUAAGUGGAAUUCCCAGUGUAGCGGUGAAAUGCGUAGAGAUUGGGAGGACCACCAGUGGCGAAGGCGACUUACUGGACUGUAACUGACGCUGAGGCGCGAAAGUGUGGGGAGCAAACAGGAUUAGAUACCCUGGUAGUCCACACUGUAAACGAUGAAUGCUAGGUGUAGGGGGUAUCGACCCCUUCUGUGCCGCAGUUAACACAAUAAGCAUUCCGCCUGGGGAGUACGGCCGCAAGGUUGAAACUCAAAUGAAUUGACGGGG